Molecule: long non-coding RNA, 3147 nt
Filed under: Sus scrofa (pig)
Lineage: Eukaryota; Metazoa; Chordata; Mammalia; Artiodactyla; Suidae
Description: lncRNA (ENSSSCG00000056239.1)
Source: RNAcentral
CAGACACCUAUGGUCAAUUAAUCUUUGACAAAUAAGGCAAGUGUAUAAAAUGGGAAAAAGGAAGUCUCUUCAGCAAGUGGUACUGGGAAAACUGAACAGCUCCAUGUAAAUCAAUGAAACUAGAACAUACCAUACACAAAAAUAAACACAACAUGGCUUAAAGAUUUAAACAUAAGACAACACCAUAAAACUCCUGGAAGUGAACAUAGGUAAAACAUUCUCUAACAUCAACCAUAAAUUUUUUCUUAGAUCAGUUUCCCAAGGCAAUAGUAAUAAAAAAUAAAUAAACCAAUGGGAUCUAAUCAAACUUACAAGAUUUUGCACAACAAAAGAAACCAUAAAAAAAGAACAAAAAGACAACCUAUGAAUGGGAGAAAUUGUUUCAAAUGACGCAACCCACAAGGGCUUAAUCUCCAAAAUAUACAAAUAAAUCAUACAACUCAACAGCAAAAAAGCAAAUAACCCAACUGAAAAAUGGACUGAAGACCCAAAUACACAUUUCUCCAAAGUAGACAUACAGAUGGCCAGCAGGAAUACUACUCAGCCAUAAAGAAGAACAAAAUAACAUUAUUUGCAACAACAUGGAAGGAACUACAGAUUCUCAUAAUAAGUGAAGUAAGUCAGAAAGAGAAAUACAAAUACCAUAUGAUAUCACUUAUAUGUGGAAUCUAAAACAUGGCAGAAAUGUACUAUCUACAGAACAGAAACAAUCAUGGCCAUAGAGAACAGACUUGUGGUUGCCAAGCGGGAGGGAGAGUUAAUGGGAUGGACUGGGAGUUUGGGGUUAGUAGAUGCAAGCUAUUGCAUUUGAAGUGGAUAAGGAAUGAGGUCCUGCUGUAUACAGCCCAGGGAACUAUAUCUAUCAUUGUGAUGGAACACGAUGGAAGAUAAUAUGAGAAAAAGUGUUCAUAUAUAUGUAUAACUGGGUCACUUUGCUGUACAGCAGAAAUUGACAGAACAUUGUAAAUCAACUAUAAUUUAAGACAUUUUUUAAAAUCGAGAGUUGGUUCUUUGAAAGGCUAAACAAAAUUGACAAAUCUCUGGCCAAGCUCACCAAGAAGAAAAGAGCAAGAACCCAAAUAAACAAAACAAGGAGUGAAAGAGUAUAAAUUACAACCAAUACUGCAGAAACACAAAAAACCGUAAGAGAAUACUAUGAACAAUUAUAUGCCAACAAAUUCAACAACUUAUAAGAAACAGACAAGUUUCUAAAAACAUACAGCCCACUAAAACUGAAUCAAGAUGAAACAGACAAUUUGAACAUACUGAUUACCGAAGUGAAAUAGAAUCUGUAAUUUAAAAAAAAUUCCCUGCAAACAAAAGUCUAGGAUCAGACGACUUCCUUAGGGAAUUCUACAAAACAUACAAAGAAAAUUUAUGCCAAUCAUUCUCAAACAUUUCCAAAAGACUGAAGAGGUGGAGACUACUCCUAAAGUCAUUCUAAGAAGCCACCAUCACCCUGAUAUCAAAACCAAAGACUAUCAAAAAAGAAACAUACAGGCCAAUAUUUUUGAUGAACAUAGAUACAAAAAUUCUCAGUAUUAGCAAAUCAAAUCAAACAACACAUAAAAAAAGUUCAUACACCAUGACCAAGUUGGAUUCUUCUUAGGGUCACAAUAUAUGAAAAUCUAUGUGAUAUAUCACAUCAAUAAAAUAAAAGAUAAAACCACAUGAUCAUCUCAAUAGAUGCAGUAGAGCAUUUGAUAUGCUUCAAUAUACAUUUGUCAUAAAAACUCUUACCAGAAUUCCUGGCAUAGGUCACAGCUGCAGGUCAGAUGUGGUCCCUGGCCCAGGAACUUCCAUAUGCUGCAGGCAUUGCCAUAUCUCAACCUAAUAAAAGCUAUUUAUGACACAUCCACAGCCAACAUAAUAUUCAAUGGUAAAAAGCUAAAAGCCUUCCUGCUAAAAUCUGGCAGGACAAGGAUGUCCACUCUAACCAUUUCUAUUCAGCAUAAUACCGGAAUUCCCAGCCAUAGCAAUAAAACAAAAAGAAGAAAUAAAAAGUGUCCAGAUUGAAAGGGAAGAGGUAAGAUUGUCAUUAUAUCAGAUUAUAUACAUUAUAUAUAUAUAUUUCUAUACAUUAUAAUAUAUGUAUAGAAAACCCUAAAGACUCCACACAAAAGCUACCAGAACUGAUAAAAAAAAAUUGGCAACAUAACAGGGUACAAGAUUAAUAUACAAAAAAUUAGUUGCAUUUCUUACGCUAACAAUGACAUAUCAGAAAGGGAAUGUAAACAAAAAAUCCUUUUCUGUGGGUGUGUGUGUAUUUUAGGGCCACACCUAAGACAUAUGGAAGUUACCAGGCUAGGGGUCAAAUUGGAGCCUCUGACCUACACCAUAGCCACAACAAUGUGGGAUCCCAGCUAUGUCUGUGACCUACACCACAGCUCACGGCAAUGCUGGAUUCUUAAACCACUGAGCAAGGCCAGGGAUCAAACCCACAUCCUCAUGAAUACUAGUUGGGUUUGUUACUGCUGAGCCACAGCAGGAAUUUCCCAAAAAAAUCCCUUUUAAAAUUGAAUUAAAAAAAAGUGAGCAGCAACAUGGUUGGACCUAGAAAUUACCACACUAAGUAAAGCACAUCAGACAGAGAAAGACAAAUAUCGUAUGAGAUCACUAAUAUGUGGAAUCUAACAAAAAAUGAUAUGAAAGAACUUACAAAACAGAAACAGACUCAAAGAUUUUGAAACCAAAUUUAUGGAAAACAAAUGGGAAAUAUGGGGUGGAAGGGAUAAAUAAAGGUGUUGGAUUGAUAUAUACACACUACUAUAUAUAAAAUAGAUAGGUAAAAAAGACCUACAGUAUAACACAGGGUUAUCUACUGAAUACUGUGUAAUAAUGUACAUGGGAUAAGAAUCUGAGAAGGAAUGGAUACGUAUAUACGUAUAACUGAUUUACUUUGCUGUAUACCUGACACUAACACAACUUUCUAACUCAACUAUACUUCAAUAAAAUUUAUUUUUAAAAAAAUGAAAAACUUAGGAAUAAACCUGAUCAGGCAAGUGAAAAAUUUACAUGCUGAGAACUACAAAACAUUGAUAAAAUAAAUUGAAAAUGAUUUAAAGAAAUAGAAAAAUAGGAGUUCCUGUUGUCACUCAGUGGUUAUGAACCCAACUAGUCUCCACGAGGAUGUGGGUUUGAUCCCUC